Ictalurus furcatus (blue catfish) is the source of this 4693-nucleotide RNA transcript. It is a transcript of the gene named TELO2 interacting protein 1, with no coding region annotated. The record is from RefSeq and is a predicted model, not a curated record. The transcript is spliced from 7 exons. NCBI's taxonomy places the organism in Eukaryota, Metazoa, Chordata, Actinopteri, Siluriformes, Ictaluridae.
GCAGACCAACGCUUGAAACGUGUGAUCGAUGUUUCUGGUUCUGUUUUACGGCAUAGAGAAGGAUUUCAGUCGCUUCGGGAUGGUUGGAUUGAAGAUUUAAUCCGUUCACUAAUGGAGGAUGGCUGAUCAUCAGAUCGAUGACCCAAAGAUUGCCUUCGCUUACCUGCGGCCCUCCUGUGUCCUACUGACCAAAGAGCCUACUCUGUCCAAUAUAGAGGCUCUGAAUGUCCAUCUGCAUGGUGUUAGCGAUGGAGUCCUCCAGCUGCUUCAGGAUUAUGUCCUCUUCCCUCUCCGCUUUGUCCUCAAGACCCCUGGGGCCAAGCGAGAGGGCGUCGUGCAAGCUGUUAUGGACGCCAUGACCUAUGUUCUGGAAAAGACCUGCAUUCAGAACUGGGAAUCUCUACGUGAACUCUUUUCUGAGCUUUGCCUUUGCCUCAGCUCUCCAAAUGACCCUGGAAAGCCGGCUCCAUCAGCAGAGGAGCUGAAGUUAGCGGUGCUACGAUGUCUGGAUGCUCUCGUGCAUUCCGCGUACGGAGAUGUGGUGUUCAGGAUGUAUGAGCCUGCGAUGCUUCCCGGACUGGGAGCCGCCGUGUCGCUGUUCUUGGCUCUGGCAGAGGAAGAGAAAGCGAGAGGAGUGCAGGCAGCAGCGUUGAAGUGCCUUCUGUCUCUGUUCCUGCAGUGCGAUUGUGAACGAACGCAUGUAGAACCAGAUGAAGAGGAAAGAAAUUUGCUUGGAAAUACGCUGGCUUCGUUCCUACCAGGAAUCACUCGAGCUUUGAGUCAUGUGAUUAGCGGAGACGUGAGACAAGGGCACAUGGUUACGGUGAAAGCCAUGAAGGUUUGGUACACCACAGUGGGCCUGGUUAUGGACGACAAACAGCUUCAGAACGACAGCGCCACGAGUGCGGAGUCACCUGGGUUGGGUAGGAUUGGAGAGUUGGUGGUGAAAAGGACUCCUUCUUGGAGCAAGUCCACAUCUAAAAGACUUGUGUUGGCGCUGCAGAAAGUGAUCUCUUACACCACAGCGCACCAACAUUGGAGAGUAAGAUUGGAACUGGUCAAUCUGUCCGAUCGUCUUCUUACCCAGUGCAGCAAAUCUUUAUCUGAAUGCAUCGGUCCUCUUCUAGAGGCUUUGGUUGGUGCCGUCAAUGAUGAGGAACCUCGAGUUAAAGAGCGGUGUACGACAGUACUGGCUGAGGUAUCUAGAAGAAACCAAGCUACAGGAGGUCAAGCUUUAACCCACGUCCUGUCUGAAAACUUGCAUAGCUUGGUGUCUUCUCUACCUCGGCUCAUGAGAACAACGGACGACAAGCGCAAGCUCUUUAUCCUCACUGUCCUCCUGGGGUACCUGAAGAUCCUCGGUCCUCAAGUGGAUUUGGUCUUGACGUCAGCAGUUCACCUCCAGCGUAUCUCCAAAGCGUUAAUGCAGGUGCUCGAGUUGGAUGUCACAGACGUCAGGAUCGUAGAGGAAAGAAGUUUUGCGCCAUUAUCCGACUUGGCAACUGAUGCUCCCGAUGUACAGCACCAGAGCAAAUACUUCCUUUAUUUUACAGACAACAAGAUCUUCUCAGCGUUGAAGCAGGUAUGCCAGAUGCUGGGUCGUUAUGGAAAUCUUUAUUUACUGGUGGACCAUUUCUUGGAGCUCUACAAGGAGUCGUCGGUUUAUCGCAAACAAGCCGCUCUGGUGCUCAAUGAGGUUAUCAGCGGGGCAGCGGGAGUUGGGAUGGAAGCAGACAUUUUGAGAACAGCUGACCGUUCAGAGACUUCCGGAAUAAGCCACGAGGACCUGAAAAGUGCAAUCGCUUCCAUUAUUGAGGAAUACAUCAGUUUGAAUAACUGGCAUCUCGCCACUGUAGUGGACGACUCGGAUGAUGAACAGCAGGAGAAACGUCAUUCUGCGGUCCCCUCUAUUUUAAGCAGAUCUGACGGGAACGGGCACCAACUCGCACCAACCUUCAGUUCCAAAACUCCAACGCUCCACCAGCUGAACAGCAACAUUUGGCAGAUCUGUAUCCAACUGGAAGGGAUCGGCUCCUUCGCUUUAGCUCUGGGCUCCGAUUUCCGCCUGCUUCUGAUGACGGCACUCUACCCAGUGCUGGAGAAGGCGGGAGAUACUUCGCUGCUUGUCAGCCAGUCAGCUCUCAGCACCGUGCAGAACCUUUGCGUGGCUUGCGAUUAUAGCUCGCCCAAGGAGCUGGUGAUCAGCAAUGCGGACUACCUGCUGAAUGACGUCUCCCUGAACCUGAGCAGACCCAGCGUUCACCCUCAUGCCCCGCGAGUCCUCGCCGUCAUGUUCGUCCAUUCGGAUGCCACUCUGCUGCCCCUAGUGGCCGACGUGGUGCAGGACGUGCUCACGGCCCUGGAUCUGAGCUACGACCAGAGAUCUCGGCAGUUCUGUACAGUCCUGCAUUCACUAUUGAAGGCACUGGUGAGGUGGUUUAACGCCAGCACUACAGGCCGCAGGCAGACUUCCACAGCCAGCACACACACCCCGACUCCGGAGAUGCUGAAUCUUCGCCAGUUUCUCUUGGAUUACAGAAAGCAGAAGGAGCUGGCGGAGGGGAUCGGAGCCGAGGAGGAGGUGGAGGAGGAGUCAAGUGACGCAGAAGCACCUCGGUCGGCAGCGGCUCCUGAGGUAAAAGAGGAGGAGGAGGAGGAGGAAGGCCCUGACGCGAAACCAGAGCUGCCAUUACACGUGUCCAUCGCUAAAGACGUGAUGGAGCGCUGCAUUCACCUGCUGUCUCACCCCAACAUGGGAGUGCGACUGAAGGUGUUGGACAUUGUAGAGCUGUGUGUGUCUGUGCUGUGUGAGACGGAGAAUGAGCUCUUACCCAUGGUGCACCGCUGCUGGCCGGCUCUUCUCCAGCGCCUCACCAAUGACGACCCACUCGCAGUACCCCAAGCUUUCAGGGUAUUGUGUGUGUUGGGUGAGUCGUGCGGUGACUUCCUGAGGAAGCGAGUGUCUAAAGAGGUCCUGCCCCGACUCACGUCAUCACUUUCACGCCAGGCUGAGACGAGCGCUCGCGCCGGUCCCAUGUACACUCACACACUCGCGUACAAGCUGCAGCUGGCCGUGCUACAGGGACUCGGACCUCUGUGCGUGCGUCUCGAUCUGGGUAAGGCGUGGCCUCUGUGAAUUUCAGUCCCAGUGACGUAGAAGGAGGCGUGGCCUCUGUGAAUGUCAGUCACAGUGAGGAGAAGGAGUUUUAGUUUAUUUUAGUUUAUUAGAAAGCACCUGUAAUAGUUUCCCUUGCUGCAGUGACGUCUUCACCCCACUAGAUGGCAGACUCGUAUCGCAGCUGAAACAAAGCUCAGUACAGCUGCAGUGAACGCUGCCUGUGCAUCUCAAUGCGAAGCACGACACACACUCACACUCGUCCCCCGGGUGUCACCUCACUCUGGGGCACAGACAUCAUUGGCUCGCACACUUCAACACAACACACACAGAGUUAGAGAGUGUAGAUAAGAUAAGAAGUAGGAGAUGAAGAUAAGAAGUAGGAGAUGAGAUGAUCAGAAGGCUUUUGAAAGGGAGCGUCUAGCUGAAAUGGCCUGGAGCCAGCGGAGGAACGAGUUGUUUACCGGAAUGGUCCGUAAUGAAUUUUAAUUCCUGACCUCUGGAGACGUCAGCUCUCUUUCAGUGCUUUAUUUCGCCAGAGGAAAAGGCAGGAAGGUGCUAAAACACGCCGUAAUGAGUGGCUGAGAUGAGCUGAAGUGGCGCAGACCACCAGGAUGCGUGGGAGGCUUUGAAAACUCUGUGUGUGUUUGUGUGUGUGUGUGAGCGUGAAUAUUCACAGUUUCAGCUCAUAAUGCUGGGCCUCAGCUCAGAGAAUACUGAAAGGUUAGAGGCACAAAGAGAGUUGGAGGUUUAAAGGAAGAAAAUGAAGGCCGACAGUGAACAGUGUUUUAGCGCAAAUGUCGUCCAUUAGACACGUUUCGCUUCUUUGUGUUGGCGUACGUUGGACACGAAGCUGUGCCUAAUCUCGAAUGAUUCCUCAGAGCAGUCGUAUCGUACGGAAACGCAAACGCUUCGGAGCCGUUGCCCCACCCCCCCAGUUUCAGUCUGGAGGAAGGCAGUGAGAGAUAAGAGAUAAGUUGGACAGCUGGUUUAGGCCAUUAAGCAGUUAUCAUGCUAUGAAAAUUUAACAUGGUCACAGGCCUGGUGAAUUGGGAUAUGACAAUCUUUAAUUAAAUUUGACCGAAUGAUUAGCACACUCAUUAUCUAAGUCAGAGAUUAAUGAGAAGCGUCUCCGCGGGAAAGAGAGUUUUUCAGCACGGUUACGCAGUGAGUUACGCAGCUCGACGCCGCUUUAUAACGUGAUUAUAAACGUGUAGUAGGUUGUAAUAACGUUAACGUAGCAUUCCUAUCGUUAGUUAUUGUUGCAUGUAGUCAUUUAUUCUGAGUGUGUCGGUGCGCCACAGAGGACUGGUUUAACGUCAAGCAUUAACGUCGAUUAGCAGUGUAGGUUCUGUUUAUUUCCGUGUAAAUUCCAAUAAAAUGGUCAGAAUUCGAUUUUUUUUUAAAGUUUCAAUCUCUGUACAAGGUAGCACCGUCUAGCAAAUAAACAACUGUUUCUUGUUAUAAUACAUAUAAUUGUGUGUGUUUGCAGUGGACUCGGAUCUGGACCGUAUCUCUGAGUCCUGUCUCCCCUACCUGAGCUGCAGACAGCCAAUCAGAUUACAGGAAGCUGGCCUC